UACGUAGGGUGCGAGCGUUGUCCGGAAUUAUUGGGCGUAAAGAGCUCGUAGGCGGUGUGUCACGUCGUUCGUGAAAACCUGCAGCUUAACUGUGGGCGUGCGGUCGAUACGGGCAUCACUGGAGUUCGGCAGGGGAGACUGGAAUUCCUGGUGUAGCGGUGAAAUGCGCAGAUAUCAGGAGGAACACCGGUGGCGAAGGCGGCUCACUGGCCCGGUACUGACGCUGGAGGUGACGAAAGCGUGGGUAGCAAACAGG
Molecule: ribosomal RNA, 256 nt
Filed under: uncultured bacterium
Lineage: Bacteria
Description: partial 16S ribosomal RNA
Rfam family: Bacterial small subunit ribosomal RNA
Source: RNAcentral